Molecule: ribosomal RNA, 680 nt
Filed under: uncultured bacterium
Lineage: Bacteria
Description: bacterial SSU rRNA
Rfam family: Bacterial small subunit ribosomal RNA
Source: RNAcentral
AGAGUUUGAUCCUGGCUCAGGAUGAACGCUGGCGGCGUGCCUAACACAUGCAAGUCGAGGGAGAAGGUUUACUUCGGUAAACUGGACACCGGCGAACGGGUGAGUAACGCGUAGCUAACCUGCCUUGAAGAAUGGGAUAACUACCGGAAACGGUAGCUAAUACCAUAUAAGCUCACGGGUUGUAGAAAUCAGUGAGAAAAGGUGAUUUAGCGCUUUAAGAUGGGGCUGCGUACCAUCAGCUAGCUGGUGAGGUAAAAGCUCACCAGGGCGACGACGGUUAGGGGACCUGAGAGGGUGACCCCCCACACUGGGACUGAGACACGGCCCAGACUCCUACGGGAGGCAGCAGUGAGGGAUAUUGCACAAUGGACGAAAGUCUGAUGCAGCGACGCCGCGUGAGUGAAGACGGGCUUCGGCCUGUAAAGCUCUUUUCUGUGUGACGAGAACGGACGGUAGCACAGGAAUAAGUCUCGGCUAACUACGUGCCAGCAGCCGCGGUAAAACGUAGGAGGCGAGCGUUAUCCGGAGUUACUGGGCGUAAAGCGCGUGCAGGCGGUAGAAUAAGUCUGUUAUGAAAGCUCCCGGCUAAACUGGGAGAGGUUGACAGAAACUAUUUUACUAGAGUGGAGAAGAGGUAAACGGAAUUCCGCGUGUAGUGGUGAAAUGCGUAGAUAUGCGGA